GCAGCCGCGGUAAUACGUAGGGGGCAAGCGUUAUCCGGAUUUACUGGGUGUAAAGGGAGCGCAGACGGCAGCGCAAGUCUGAUGUGAAAUCCCGGGGCUCAACCCCGGAACUGCAUUGGAAACUGCGCAGCUCGAGUAUCGGAGAGGUAAGCGGAAUUCCUAGUGUAGCGGUGAAAUGCGUAGAUAUUAGGAGGAACACCGGCGGCGAAGGCGGCUUACUGGACGAAGACUGACGUUGAGGCUCGAAAGCGUGGGGAGCAAACAGGAUUAGAUACCCC
This 278-nucleotide ribosomal RNA is filed under the name uncultured Lachnospiraceae bacterium. Its description in RNAcentral is "partial 16S ribosomal RNA". It matches the Rfam family "Bacterial small subunit ribosomal RNA", at positions 511 to 788 of the family's 1533-position model. Lineage: Bacteria; Bacillati; Bacillota; Clostridia; Lachnospirales; Lachnospiraceae. The record is from RNAcentral.